AAUCAACGCUGGCGGCGUGCCUCAGACAUGCAAGUCGAACGCGAAAGUCUCCUUCGGGGGACAAGUAGAGUGGCGCACGGGUGAGUAACACGUAGGUAAUCUACCUUCGGAUGGGGAAUAACAACCGGAAACGGUUGCUAAUACCGCAUAAUGCAGCGGCACCUAAUGGUGACAGUUGUUAAAGCGGGGGAUCGAAAGACCUCGCGUCUGAAGAGGAGCCUGCGGCGGAUAGCUAGUUGGUAAGGUAACGGCUUACCAAGGCGACGAUCCGUAGCCGGCCUGAGAGGGCGGUCGGCCACACUGACACUGACAUACGGGUCAGACUCCUACGGGAGGCAGCAGUCGGGAAUUUUGGGCAAUGGGCGAAAGCCUGACCCAGCAACGCCGCGUGAAGGAUGAAAUCCCUCGGGAUGUAAACUUCGCAAGAACGGGAAGAAUAAGUAGGGGACAAUACCCCCUAUGAUGACGGUACCGUUUGUAGCUCCGGCUAACUCCGUGCCAGCCGCCGC
This 509-nucleotide ribosomal RNA is filed under the name uncultured bacterium. RNAcentral's name for it is "bacterial SSU rRNA". It matches the Rfam family "Bacterial small subunit ribosomal RNA", at positions 32 to 518 of the family's 1533-position model. The record is from RNAcentral.